CUACGGAAGGCAGCAGUGGGGAAUAUUGCACAAUGGGCGGAAGCCUGAUGCAGCGACGCCGCGUGAGGGAUGACGGCCUUCGGGUUGUAAACCUCUUUCAGCAGGGACGAAGCGUAAGUGACGGUACCUGCAGAAGAAGCGCCGGCCAACUACGUGCCAGCAGCCGCGGUAAGACGUAGGGCGCGAGCGUUGUCCGGAUUUAUUGGGCGUAAAGAGCUCGUAGGCGGCUUGUCGCGUCGACCGUGAAAACUUGGGGCUCAACCCCAAGCCUGCGGUCGAUACGGGCAGGCUAGAGUUCGGUAGGGGAGACUGGAAUUCCUGGUGUAGCGGUGAAAUGCGCAGAUAUCAGGAGGAACACCGGUGGCGAAGGCGGGUCUCUGGGCCGAUACUGACGCUGAGGAGCGAAAGCGUGGGGAGCGAACAGGAUUAGAUACCCCGGUAGC
RNAcentral lists this ribosomal RNA (443 nucleotides) under uncultured bacterium. Its description in RNAcentral is "bacterial SSU rRNA". It matches the Rfam family "Bacterial small subunit ribosomal RNA", at positions 339 to 794 of the family's 1533-position model. The record is from RNAcentral.